ACAGAUGCUAGCAACCCCCAGAAGCCAGAAAAGGGCAAGAAAGGGCCCUUCCCUGGAAUCUUGAGAGAGAGAGAGAGACAGCGCAGUAUGGUCCCGGCAACACCUCGAUUUCGGACUUCCAGCCUCUAGAAUUGUGAAACAAUCAAUCUGUUGUUUUAGGCCACUCAAUCUGUGGUACUUUGUUACAGCAACUCUAGAAAACUAAUACUCAUCCUGGAGGGAUGCACAUAGCUAAGACACUUCCUUCACUGAAAUCCUGAGACAGGUACAAAGUGUCAACAGAGCUUCUUCAGUGGGCACACAGAAAUGUUUGUACGCUCUGUAUCAGAAUAAGAAAAUGAUUACGAUAUAAACAGAAAGAUGCAAAAGACAACAGUAGAGUGUUCCUAAAAACCUUCAUAUGAUUUAUCCUGGGAUUGUGAAAGCUGAAGAUACCAGAAUAGUCACUUUUGUUGGACCCAGACAAAAUAGGGCCGGGAAGGAGGCACAUGCAUGCAUGUCGGAGGACUGCAAUAAUUCAAACAAGACAUUCUCCAAAGGAUACCUGCUCAGUAACAGCAUCUCCGUCAAUGAACUGAUAACAACUCUGGCUUUGAACCUAUGGAACCCAUGGACUCUGUUUCUAAGCAGCUUAUGAAAAUCUUUUUUUGCUAAUAAAAGUUCCCCUUACACAGAA
This is a long non-coding RNA of Homo sapiens (human), 676 nucleotides long. RefSeq lists it as uncharacterized. The record is from RefSeq and is a predicted model, not a curated record. The transcript is spliced from 2 exons. Lineage: Eukaryota; Metazoa; Chordata; Mammalia; Primates; Hominidae.